AGCAUAUCAAUAAGCGGAGGAAAAGAAAAUAACAAUGAUUCCCUUAGUAACGGCGAGUGAAGGGGGAAAAGCUCAAAUUUUAAAUCUGCUAGGUUUUACCUGUCAGAAUUGUAAUUUGAAGAAGCGUUUUCCGCGUCUCGGUUGGCCCAAAUCCUUUGGGAUAAGGUAUCAUGGAGGGUGAGAAUCCCGUUCGGUUGACCUUAUGACGUUCUACGAUACGCUUUCUAAGAGUCGAGUUGUUUGGGAUUGCAGCUCAAAAUGGGAGGUAAAUUUCUCCUAAGGCUAAAUAUCGGCGAGAGACCGAUAGCGAACAAGUACCGUGAGGGAAAGAUGAAAAGAACUUUGAAAAGAGAGUAAAAUAGUACGUGAAAUUGUUGAAAGGGAAACGAUUGAAGUCAGUNGUACCGACGAGAAAUCAGCUUAUCGUGUGUUAACUUGUGGGCGUGCGUGAGUUUCGGCCUCGCUGUUUGCAAGUUUGUGCGCUUUGGGUGUACUUUUUNGUAUGGUUGGCCAACAUCAGUUUCGAUCACUAUAAAAUGACUGGCGGAANGUAGNUUCGAUUUCGGUUGAAGUGUUAUAGCCUCUGGUAGAUGUGGUGAUUGGGANUGAGGAUUGCAACGAAUAUCCUUUGGGCUAUCCGUCUGGCCUCUGAAAGUUGCUUGGGUGNUGAAAGCUUGCUUAUGGUUAUCUAAGUUAACGGUCAAUAGGUCAGAACGNGAUUACAUUCGUUAAGGAUGU
Molecule: ribosomal RNA, 738 nt
Filed under: uncultured fungus
Lineage: Eukaryota; Fungi
Description: eukaryotic LSU rRNA
Rfam family: Eukaryotic large subunit ribosomal RNA
Source: RNAcentral